GAUCAGACAGCGGCUAAAAAUACACCACGCCAAAAAUACAGCGAAGUCAGGCGAGAGAAAUUUCGGCUAACUACGCUGUCGUACGAUGAAAACGUGCAAUAAUUUAUGGAUGUUCCGAAAUGUUUUAUUACUGUGCUUAGCAGUCUGUGGUAGCAAGAUAUGUAAACGGAUACCUCCAUCCAUUGAAACGUCAAAAGACGCUAUGAAGACCGCAAUACGCUCUGUACGGUGCAUACUGCUCAUGUGCGUACGCAAUACUAUGCAUAACAAUGGAACCAAAAGGUCUGUCCGUGAAAGACAAGAAAAGGCCGGAUGUGAUCACUCUUAUACCGUGGGCACGCGGAAAGCCGCUGGCCGUGGAUGUUACCUGCGUGGACACGCUGGCAGCCUCGUAUAUCGACCGCACCUCCGUGAACGCCGGCGCAGCAGCCGAACUCGCGGAAAGGAAGAAACUUUCGAAACACGCUUGGCUGCAACCAAGAUACGAUUUUGUUGCCGCUGCCUUCGAAAUCUACGGACCUUUGGGAGACGGAACAAAAAAGCUAGUGGAGAAGGUUGGAAACGGUAUAGCGACUUCCACUGGCCAGAAGCGAGCGAAAGAGCUUUUUAAGCAGCGAAUAUCUAUGCAAAUACAACGGGGAAACGCGAUUUGUGUAAUGGGUACGCUCCCCUAUCAGGAUAGCAUAGAGGAAGUUUUUCUGUUAUAAUGACGUUCUGUUUUGGUACUAAGUUUGUACUUGUACAACGAUACUCAUUAAAGGUCCGAGCUACUG
Long non-coding RNA from Paramacrobiotus metropolitanus, 773 nucleotides. RefSeq lists it as uncharacterized. NCBI's taxonomy places the organism in Eukaryota, Metazoa, Tardigrada, Eutardigrada, Parachela, Macrobiotidae. The transcript has 2 exons. The record is from RefSeq and is a predicted model, not a curated record.